UCAAAGAUGCAACAUUUAGCAUGUAGGGAUGCUUCAGAGGUGAGUCUUCACAAAGGACCAAGUGAGUCCCGCUAGGUCUCAAUAUGAUGCAGAUAAACAUGACCUAAAGGCUGACCUACAUUGAGGUUUACUAACAAGGCCGUUUGGGGAGCAUAUGAUCGAUAGUGGCUGCUUUGCUUUUCGCCCACUCCAUACAUCCGGUGGCUCCCCCUCCUAAAAUAAGGGUGACUCAACUAUAAACAUGUAGCACGUAAGCACUCAACAAUGAUAAAAUAAACACAAACAAUAACACAAACAAUGUUUAUACACUCAUAAUGUCAAACUUAGCCGAUAAAACUCCAAAAAUAAGCUCAGAUUUUGAAAAGGAUCCCCAGCAGCGUCGCUAAAGCUAUCACACCCCCUUUUCAUCCAAAAAGAAUAUGAUUAAGAUCGAAAGGGUUUUUAAUUAUCAAAGUGACAAAAGAUGAAAGUUUGUUUUGAAAAAGGAUUGUUUAUAUUUUUUAUUGAGAGUCGUCACUUGACAUAAUCCGGUGUAUCAAGUCACCUUUUAAAGAUCCUUUUCAAAAUGAUUUUUGACGUUUUAAACUGGUUUGCGAACAGAGAUUCUGACUAAAGAAUUCUGUUGACCAAGGAAAAGGUGUUAGGCAUCUCUCGAUCCUGUGGUUUGACCAUAAUCGCUUGAUGGAGCGUGUCGGAUAAUUUGACAUUAUAAAAUACAUAAACCACAUAAAGCACUCAAAACAAUUAAGCGAGCAAACAAAAUAAAACAAUCCAAAAUUUAGCGUCCAAUCCAAUUUAUUACAAACCGAAAUAAAAAUACUGAAAUAACUUACACUAGACCUAAACUAUGCUUUACCCGAUGCCCCGGGCCUUGAUCACGAAUAUCCUUCACGUACAAAAUUCUUCGAGGCAUUCUCCAGUGAGUAAUACAAAUGACCUUGGGGUAUUCUCCUGCUAAAUGAAUACACUUUUCAAAUACGAUAAACAAAACAUUCAACAAAUAUUCCAAGCAUUCUAACAAUUCAAUAAUUCUAAAUUUGCCUACCCGAGCCUACCGUUUUCCUGCCUGCUCGACGACAUGUCACAUUCAACAUCAACAAUGAAUAAAAAAUAACAAUAUUCAUUUUUAUCAACUUUCAAUUUUCGUCUUCCCCAAUUCCAUCCCAAAUUCAUUCUCAAUCCAUGAUUAGCACAUGCUUAGAUUAUUAAAUCGCAUUUCAAAAUUCAAAUCCAACAUCAACCAAUAUACGAUCAAGAUUCAAACAUACCAAACACACAAAUCAAUCAUGAUUAAGCAAAAAAUUAAAGAAAAAGAAGACAGAAUUGGACCUCAAUGCCACUUUCAAUUAAAAUUGCUUUUUCCAAUUGAACCGCGUCCAAAAUCUUGAAUUGAACCUCAACGAGACAAUCAAACCCGUCUUUGAUCCACUCCCUUUUCUGGAUUAUUGCUAACCUUAACCCCAAAAAUUGCAAGAGAAACAGACAAACCCAAAUAUAAUUUCCAACCAGACUUUGAGGAUAUGGCAGGUUUGUUCAUUUCGAUAAGCCGAUUCCAGCGAUGAGUUGGCCAGAAAACUGAAUUGGGAGUCACGACUAGCAGAUCUUGGUCUAUUUUUAUUAGAGCUAGAGCUGGCUUUGUUAAUUUCGGCAAAAUUUGCCAGAAUAGAGACUGGAAUGGGGCCGUCGCCACUAGAUUUUGGUUGAGUGGUCUAUCCGGAGUUAGGAGGGGGUGAGUCUGGUGGUAUUCAUCGGUGGAGAAGGUGCUUUCCGGUGUGUUUAGCCAAGUUUUUUAGCGAGACACCACUCACUGGAAUAGUACUCUCCAAUCUCUCUCCGAAUCUCUUCUACCUCUCUCCCCCAUUCCUCUUUUCUCUCUCAAUCUCCCUUCAUUUCUCACACUCUUUUGUCAUGAUUGUGUGUGUGCAUGAAUCUUUAUAGAGUGUGUGAAAAUUGUGUGUAUUUGCUCCUCCCUGUGUUGUUAUUCCAGUGGUGUAUAUAUGUGUAGUGUGUGCUGUGUGGUGAGGUGUGUGAAUUGAAUGGAGAAGAAGCCACUCAGAAG
This 2059-nucleotide long non-coding RNA is filed under the name Capsicum annuum. RNAcentral describes it as "long non-coding RNA (CANN_LNC010623)". The record is from RNAcentral. Lineage: Eukaryota; Viridiplantae; Streptophyta; Magnoliopsida; Solanales; Solanaceae.